Molecule: ribosomal RNA, 245 nt
Filed under: uncultured bacterium
Lineage: Bacteria
Description: partial 16S ribosomal RNA
Source: RNAcentral
UACGUAGGCGCAAGCGUUAUCCGGAAUUAUUGGCGUAAGAGCUCGUAGCGUUGUCGCGUCUGCCGUGAAGUCGGCUCACUCGAUCUGCGGUGGUACGGCAGACUAGAGUGAUGUAGGAGACGUGAUCCUGUGUAGCGUGAAUGCGCAGAUAUCAGAGACACGUGCGAAGCGGUCUCUGCGUAGCUGACUGACGCUGAGAGCGAAGCGUGGGAGCGACAGAUAGACUACGUAGUCAGUCAGACAGU